UACGUAGGGAGCAAGCGUUGUCCGGAAUCAUUGGGCGUAAAGCGCGCGUAGGUGGCCUCAUAAGUCCGUUGUGAAAGUCAAAGGCUCAACCUUUGAAAGCCGAUGGAUACUGUGAGGCUAGAGUCCGGAAGAGGCGAGUGGAAUUCCUGGUGUAGCGGUGGAAUGCGCAGAUAUCAGGAGGAACACCAAUAGCGAAGGCAGCUCGCUGGGACGGUACUGACGCUAAGGCGCGAAAGCGUGGGGAGCGAACAGG
This 253-nucleotide ribosomal RNA is filed under the name uncultured bacterium. RNAcentral describes it as "partial 16S ribosomal RNA". It matches the Rfam family "Bacterial small subunit ribosomal RNA", at positions 524 to 776 of the family's 1533-position model. The record is from RNAcentral.